RNAcentral lists this ribosomal RNA (253 nucleotides) under uncultured bacterium. Its description in RNAcentral is "partial 16S ribosomal RNA". It matches the Rfam family "Bacterial small subunit ribosomal RNA", at positions 524 to 776 of the family's 1533-position model. The record is from RNAcentral.
UACGUAGGGUGCAAGCGUUGUCCGGAAUUAUUGGGCGUAAAGAGCUCGUAGGCGGUUUGUUGCGUCGGCUGUGAAAUCCCGAGGCUCAACCUCGGGUCUGCAGUCGAUACGAGCAAACUAGAGUGUUGCAGGGGAGACUGGAAUUCCCGGUGUAGCGGUGAAAUGCGCAGAUAUCGGGAGGAACACCGGUGGCGAAGGCGGUUCUCUGGGCCUGUGCUGACGCUGAGGAGCGAAAGCGUGGGGAGCGAACAGG